GCCCCCGUAGCUCAGUGGACAGAGUGCCGGCCUCCGGAGCCGAAGAGGACAGUUCGAGUCUGUCCGGGGGCACCU
RNAcentral lists this transfer RNA (75 nucleotides) under Chloroflexi bacterium RIFOXYD12_FULL_57_15. RNAcentral describes it as "tRNA-Arg". It matches the Rfam family "tRNA". Rfam says of the family: Transfer RNA (tRNA) molecules are approximately 80 nucleotides in length. Their secondary structure includes four short double-helical elements and three loops (D, anti-codon, and T loops). Lineage: Bacteria; Bacillati; Chloroflexota. The record is from RNAcentral.